Strongyloides venezuelensis is the source of this 46-nucleotide regulatory RNA element. It matches the Rfam family "Histone 3' UTR stem-loop". Rfam says of the family: The mRNAs of metazoan histone genes lack a poly-A tail. 3' end processing occurs at a site between a highly conserved stem-loop (modelled by this family) and a purine rich region around 20 nts downstream (the histone downstream element, or HDE). The stem-loop is bound by a 31 kDa stem-loop binding protein (SLBP - also termed the histone hairpin binding protein, or HBP). Lineage: Eukaryota; Metazoa; Nematoda; Chromadorea; Rhabditida; Strongyloididae. The record is from Rfam.
CCAAAGGCCCUCUUUAGGGCCACCAAUUGUUUUCUUGAAUUGUUGU